Molecule: long non-coding RNA, 1489 nt
Organism: Jaculus jaculus (lesser Egyptian jerboa)
Lineage: Eukaryota; Metazoa; Chordata; Mammalia; Rodentia; Dipodidae
Exons: 2
Source: RefSeq, a predicted model, not a curated record
GGUUGACUGGGGCAGCCAGCAGAAGCCCUCACAGCUCCCCCGCAACCCCGGGGUGUGUGUGUGGGGGGCGGGGGGAGCAGCGAGCUGUCUUGCUUGUUUACAACGAAGGUUCCCGCUUCAGUUCCAGCUCACUGCCCCGGUUGGAAGCCCGAGAGGAAGCGAAGGCAGGGAGUUUCUCCAGGACGCCGAUUGCCGCUUCCUCGCGGACGCGGGAGACCGGGUAAGCCCUCCCCCGGCGGCCCCGGCGGACCUGCGGCCGUGUCAGCCGAGCAGCCAGACCAGAAGCGGAGGGGACCACCGUGGAGGGACUUGGCUUGAAAUCGUCCUCUGCGAACAUUUGCCAAGCCCAAACAGACAGACGCCAGAGGCACCACUGUGCCCUAUGGGUCUCUGGAAAAAACGCUGAACCUUGUUCAGGGUCAUACCCGCCCAUUGCUUGGGGACCAUGUUCAUUUCAAGUGAAUUGCAAUCUCUCUCUCUCUCUGAAAUGAAAGACUGUAACAUUCUGUAAUUAAAAAAAAAACAAAACAGGUUUUAAGAUCAUGUUCCACCCACAAGGUACACAACAGAAGACCCCUUACAUCACCAGCCUUGCUAGUGUAGUUGAUAAACUUACUCAUAAACUUGCCCAAAAAGUUUCAAAGAGCUAUCGUCUUGUGUGUUUUAAUAAAAGUGAUGUCAGCCUCCCUCUUUUGCAUGUUUUGGGAUAGCUAGCCUUCCUUUUUUAAUAGUUUAGGCCUUCUCAGUCUUCACAGCUUAGCGGUCUUGCUUGAGAAGGCCUUUCUACCUGACUUUGCUGGUGAAGGGCUCCAGUGAGCAGGAGAAAGGCCUGGGUUGAAAACAGGUCGGCGGGGAGAGCGGCCGCCGGCAUGAGUUAAGUUCAUUCAUUCGAAAGCGCCCUUUCGUAAGUCCUAGAGGUAUUUGCUACAGGCUGUAGGAAUGCCAAGACUUUCUGGGGGUGGGGACUUCUCAAGACAAUGGAUUGUCAGGUGUUACACAAAUAAAGGAACAAAGUCUGGGCCCUUUCCCCUCUGCAAGUCAAUUCAUCUCUUACUUAGAGGAGACUUUCCCCUGCCUUAGGGGUUCAUUGUCUCCUUCUUAGAGGACCCUGAUGUGUGUGUGUGUUAGGGGGGCUAGGCUCAGCCCUGGGUGUAAGGGGGUGGAGGUGGAGAAAGAGAAUGGAGCGGAGGGCUCCUGGCUUCUGUUGUGGCGUCUUUUCUGUUUGACUUCAUGGUUGUAAGUAUUUCCAGAUGGUGAAUCAGACACCAGACGUAACAAUAUUUCCAUAUUUGGGUAUAGCAGUAGCCUGCGUUUUUAACAUUUUUCUGCCUCUGUUAUCCAACCACAGAGCAUUCUUGACAGUUUCAAAUGUUGUUAAAUAUAGACUCAACUUCUGUUCCCAGAGCAGGAAAUUCUUUGGAAUUCCUUGUUUUUCACGCAAUCUGUCUAUCAUGAUUUGAAAUAAAAUUAGAAUGGAUGAUCCAACUGG